UUAUAGCGCCGGUCCCUUCUCUUGUUUUAUUAUCUUUGUUUUUUACGAUUGUGAAACGUGCUGAUUUUGACGAGGUAGAUUGGGUUGUAAAAAAGCUUGGUUCUAAAAAACUGAAAUCAACAACCCUUAAAGUAGAUGGGUUUCGCUAGAUGUGUUUGGUGUUUGGCUUUGAUCAUUUUGUUUCAAGGGAGCUAUUUUGAUAUGUCUAUAUCUCUAGAGUUAUUUUUAGUCUUGGCUUCUAUUUCAUUUUUUGAGGUUUAUUUCAAGUUAUCUCUAUUUCGUUUCC
Long non-coding RNA from Arabidopsis thaliana (thale cress), 286 nucleotides. RefSeq annotates it as other RNA. NCBI's taxonomy places the organism in Eukaryota, Viridiplantae, Streptophyta, Magnoliopsida, Brassicales, Brassicaceae. The record is from RefSeq. The transcript is spliced from 2 exons.